GACGAACGCUGGCGGCGUGCUUAACACAUGCAAGUCGAACGGAAAGGCCCUGCUUGCAGGGUACUCGAGUGGCGAACGGGUGAGUAACACGUGGGUGAUCUGCCCUGCACUUCGGGAUAAGCCUGGGAAACUGGGUCUAAUACCGGAUAGGAGCCAUUUUUAGUGUGAUGGUUGGAAAGUUUUUUUCGGUGUAGGAUGAGCUCGCGGCCUAUCAGCUUGUUGGUGGGGUAAUGGCCUACCAAGGCGGCGACGGGUAGCCGGCCUGAGAGGGUGGACGGCCACAUUGGGACUGAGAUACGGACCAGACUCCUACGGGAGGCAGCAGUGGGGAAUAUUGCACAAUGGGCGCAAGCCUGAUGCAGCGACGCCGCGUGGGGGAUGACGGCCUUCGGGUUGUAAACUCCUUUCGCUAGGGACGAAGCUUUUUGUGACGGUACCUAGAUAAGAAGCACCGGCUAACUACGUG
Molecule: ribosomal RNA, 466 nt
Filed under: uncultured bacterium
Lineage: Bacteria
Description: partial 16S ribosomal RNA
Rfam family: Bacterial small subunit ribosomal RNA
Source: RNAcentral